AUUCUUCUAGUUUAAAAUAAAAAACGUUGAUUUGUGACAUCAAAGAUAUAAAUAUUAUGUAGAAUU
Molecule: transfer RNA, 66 nt
Filed under: Holarthrothrips indicus
Lineage: Eukaryota; Metazoa; Arthropoda; Insecta; Thysanoptera; Stenurothripidae
Description: tRNA-His
Source: RNAcentral